Molecule: ribosomal RNA, 638 nt
Filed under: uncultured organism
Description: bacterial SSU rRNA
Rfam family: Bacterial small subunit ribosomal RNA
Source: RNAcentral
GGCUUAGAGUUUGAUCAUGGCUCAGGACGAACGCUGGCGGCGUGCUUAACACAUGCAAGUCGAACGGACCCCGGCAACGGGGUUAGUGGCGGACGGGUGAGUAACACGUGAGCAACCUGCCCUGUACAACGGGAUAACACAGAGAAAUUUGUGCUAAUACGGUAUAAGACCACACGGAGGCAUCUCCGAGGGGUAAAAGCUGAGGCGGUACAGGAGGGGCUCGCGGCCCAUUAGAUAGUUGGUGAGGUAACGGCCCACCAAGUCGACGAUGGGUAGCCGACCUGAGAGGGUGAUCGGCCACAUUGGAACUGAGAUACGGUCCAAACUCCUACGGGAGGCAGCAGUGGGGAAUAUUGGGCAAUGGAGGCAACUCUGACCCAGCAACGCCGCGUGAAUGAAGAAGGCCUUCGGGUUGUAAAGUUCUUUAAUGGGGAACGAAGAAAGUGACGGUACCCCAAGAAUAAGCCACGGCUAGCUACGUGCCAGCAGCCGCGGUAAUACGUAGGUGGCAAGCGUUGUCCGGAAUGACUGGGCGUAAAGGGAGCGUAGGCGGCGCAACAAGUUAGGAGUGAAAUCCCGGGGCUUAACUCCGGAACUGCUUUUAAAACUGUUGUGCUUGAGUGAUGGAGAGGAAAGCG